CGUCAGCGCCGGCUCCCCGCCGGCCCCCGGCCCCUUUUCCAGCCCUUUUCCAGCAGGGAAUGGGCCGGGAAAACAAAGAUUAACCCCCCCCCCCGUGGUGCCAAAGGGUUGGGAAAAACACCCGGAUCCUGGGAUGUGCCUCCAGAUCCCGGGAUGUGCCUCUGGAUCCCGGGAUGUGACAGCACCUCUUUGGGAGCUGCCGGAGCUCCCUCGGGGUCAUCCCGCUAAAAUUCUGCUAAAAUCCCACUAAAAUCCCACUAAAACUCCACUAAAAUUCCGCUAAAAUUCCACGGCUUUGCCUAAAAAAAAUGGGAUGGAUGGGCGGGAGGGGGUCAGGAAUGAACCAGGAUCUUCCCAGAUUUUGUGGGAUCAGGAAGCUGGAGUGGGGUUUGGAGCCGAUCCGGCCUCGGAUUUGGGGGGGAAAAGGUCACGUUGGAGCCCCCACGGAGGGGGAGGGACCUCCGGGAAUGUGGAAUUCCAACCCUGGUGGGCCUGGAAUUGCUGCUCCAGGGGCUGGUUUUUCCCUCCAGGGCCCCACUUGGCUCUGGGAAUGUGGAAUUCCAACUCCCAUGGGCCUGGAAUUGCUGCUCCAGGGGCUGGUUUUUCCCUCAGUGUCCCUCGGCUCCCAGGGAAACGAGGAUCCCACAGAUCCCUGGAUCCCGCAGAUCCCUGGAUCCCAAGGGAAUUCCUGGGCCUUUCGUCCCAGAAAUCCAGUAGCAACCUCCCUUGGAAUGUCCAGAGCCCGUUUUCCCAGACCCAAGCUGCUCUUUCCCUGAUUUUGGAAGCAGAAUCCGGGCGGGAAUUCCGGCCCUGGGGGGGUUUCUCCGGAUCCGGAGAAUUCCAGGCUGUGGAGGAAAAGCUCCGGAUUUGGAAAAUCUCCCCCCCCAGAGGGAAAUUCCUCCCAAUUUAUGGAAAGACGUGGGAAGAACCUGGUGGGAAAAUCUGCCCAGGAGCCCCAAAAUUCCCCCCCCCAGGCUCUUGUUUUUUGGGAUUUGAUCCCAAUUCCCGGUGCCCAUCCGGCCUCGCUCCCGUUCCCUGCUGGUGCCGGGAGGGAACCGGAUUCCUGCUCGUGCUUCCCAC
RNAcentral lists this long non-coding RNA (1080 nucleotides) under Manacus vitellinus (golden-collared manakin). RNAcentral describes it as "lncRNA (ENSMVIG00005002016.1)". The record is from RNAcentral. Lineage: Eukaryota; Metazoa; Chordata; Aves; Passeriformes; Pipridae.